Phrynosoma platyrhinos (Desert horned lizard) is the source of this 72-nucleotide non-coding RNA. Lineage: Eukaryota; Metazoa; Chordata; Lepidosauria; Squamata; Phrynosomatidae. The record is from the annotation of a GenBank genome assembly.
GCCAGUGUAGUGCAGUGGUUUGGGUGUUGGACUAGUACUCUGGAAACAAGGGGUUGAAUCCCUUCUUGGUCA